RNAcentral lists this unclassified non-coding RNA (211 nucleotides) under plant metagenome. Its description in RNAcentral is "partial contains small subunit ribosomal RNA, internal transcribed spacer 1, and 5.8S ribosomal RNA". The record is from RNAcentral.
UUUCCGUAGGUGAACCUGCGGAAGGAUCAUUCAUAAUAAAGUGUUUUAUAGCACUUUUUAAAAAUCUAUAUCCACUUUGUGUGCAAUGUUAGAUCUCGUCAAUCUUGGCGAGAUUUUUAUACAUCAACUCAUUCUUUAACAAAUUUGUCUGAAAAAUAUUAUGAAUACUUAAUUCAAAAUACAACUUUCAACAACGGAUCUCUUGGCUCUC